UGUGGUGGGCUCCACCCAGUUCAAGCUUCCCAGGCUGCUUUGUUUACCUAAUCAAGCCUGGGUAAUGGCGGGCGCCCCUCCCCCAGCCUGGCUGCCGCCUCGCAGUUUGAUCUCAGACUGCUGUGCUAGCAAUCAGUGAGACUCCGUGGGCGUAGGACCCUCCGAGCCAGGUGUGGGAUAUAAUCUCGUGGUGCGCGGUUUUUUAAGCCCGUCGGAAAAGCGCAGUAUUCAGGUGGGAGUGACCCGAUUUUCCAGGUGCCGUCCGUCACCCCUUUCUUUGACUCAGAAAGGGAACUCCCUGACCCCUGGCGCUUCCCAAGUGAGGCAGUGCCUCGCCCUGCUUCGGCUCGCGCACGGUGCGCGCACCCACUGACCUGUGCCCACUGUCUGGCACUCCCUAGUGAGAUGAACCCGGUACCUCUGAUGGAAAUGGAGAAAUCACCCGUCUUCUGCGUUGCUCACGCUGGGAGCUGUAGACCGGAGCUGUUCCUAUUCGGCCAUCUUGCCAUUUUUCCUUUUUAUUUUGGGUCAUGCAAAGCGCCUACUCCCUUCUGAGAUGACUCCAGACAUUUUCGGGAUUCGUUGAGGGGUGAAGAACAGAUUGGAGGCAGGAGAAAUGACUAAGCACACAGUCUGCUUGUUUGAUUGAGCCUGAGUGACAAAAAGCAUAAACGAACCAAGUAUCCCUUCUAGGUAUAAUCAAUUAGGUUGGUAAAGCCUGAAGGAGGCUCUCCAGUGAUGCUGCCACCUCCCAGGAGGGAUACCAUGUUGAUGUCUCAGAAGUAAUGUGAGCUGGUGGAGAGAUCCCUGAUGCUAUUACUAACCAGCCACACUAUCUUGAACAAGUCACUUCAUCUUUUUGUGCUUUACCUAAUGCUAGCAAGAGCUUGUACUUAUUGAAUUCUUAUUAUGAUCUAGCCUCUGGAUUAUUACAUUUGUUACUUGCAUGAGCUGACUUUCAUGAGCUCAUGGCAAUACUCCUAUAAAUGCACGUGCUAUGAUAUUUUGCCUAUUUUUUUACAGAUGGGGAAAGGGUGGCUUAGAGAAACCAAAUAUGACUUGCUCAACAAAUAACUUCUAAGGAAUAACAUGGAAUCAGGUUCAAAUCUUCUUGGCCCCCAAGUCCAUGCUCCUAACCACAUGUGAAGAUUUCAUCUUCAUCUGUGGAAAUGGGGAUAACAAAGACAUGCGCAACCCCCAUAGCUGGGCUCUUGGGGGCUCAGUGAGAUAAUUUAUGGUCAACAUAGUGUCCAAAAUCCAGGAUUCCUGUCCCAGAACAAGGGUCUGGGGCUUAUUCUUAUUCAGUUUAGCCACCGAGUACUGGUAAGGGGAUCCUCACUGCCUUUCCCCUGCCGGUCCCGGGGAUCCCUCUUUAGGUUUGUAAGUGUUCUGGGGUACUAGGCUUGGAAAUGUUCUAGUUGCCGUGUAAAGUCAUCACUCCUGGUGGGCAGUCAAUAGACAAAUCACUUCAUACACCUGAAAAAUACUUAGGCUUUUUCUCAGGCCAGAGCCUUUCCUUCUCCCCAGACUCCCAGAGCCCCAGCUGAUCAUCAAAUAAACUUGCUCCUCCUCAGUAAUUCCCUCACCAAACUCUAUUUUUUCACAUGAAUUUUCUCCACCUCUAAAACCGUCUAUUUUCAUUUGCUUUUAUAAAAGGCCUUGUUUUGCCAUUAAACUCAGAGUUAGAACUAGUAUCAGGCUAAAAACUGGUUUUAUUUCUUUGAAGUUAAGAAAAGCUUAAGCUUCAAACAUUCUUAGGAAGUGUGGGGAAAAUAUAUAUGUAUACAUUCUAACUUUCUAAUGCAGCACAGAAUAGAUAUAUGAGCAAAAGUGUUGUUUUCAUAAUAAAGAAGGUUGAAUGCUCAUACCCUGUCACAUAAAUAACAGUGCUUUGAAAACUGCAAAGUCAUCCAGAAAUGUAAAGAAAUAUAAGAACAGUUGAAUCACCCCCCCAAGACUUGGUGAAUGUUACUGAAGUAUUCUCAUUUAGUGGUAGUUUCCAAAUUUCUUUGUCCAUGUGAACCACAGAAAUUGUGUUAGGCAGAUAACAGGCACACACAUCUUGUGAUUAACUAGAGGAGUCCUUAAUAAUGACGUGU
This 2099-nucleotide long non-coding RNA is filed under the name Homo sapiens (human). RNAcentral describes it as "HSALNT0140027". The record is from RNAcentral. Lineage: Eukaryota; Metazoa; Chordata; Mammalia; Primates; Hominidae.